GUGCCUAUAGUCUAGUGGCCAAGGUGCAUGACUGGGACCCCUGAGGUUGGUGGUUCAAGACCCAGCCCUGCCACA
Molecule: non-coding RNA, 75 nt
Organism: Albula goreensis
Lineage: Eukaryota; Metazoa; Chordata; Actinopteri; Albuliformes; Albulidae
Source: the annotation of a GenBank genome assembly